GAGGUUAUAGCUCAAUGGUAGAGUGCACGCCUAGUAUACGUGGGGUCCUGGAUUUGAUCCCCAGUACCUCCA
This 72-nucleotide transfer RNA is filed under the name Camelus bactrianus (Bactrian camel). It matches the Rfam family "tRNA". Rfam says of the family: Transfer RNA (tRNA) molecules are approximately 80 nucleotides in length. Their secondary structure includes four short double-helical elements and three loops (D, anti-codon, and T loops). RNAcentral also lists the same sequence under 1 other name. Lineage: Eukaryota; Metazoa; Chordata; Mammalia; Artiodactyla; Camelidae. The record is from Rfam by way of RNAcentral.